Vicugna pacos (alpaca) is the source of this 1394-nucleotide non-coding RNA. Lineage: Eukaryota; Metazoa; Chordata; Mammalia; Artiodactyla; Camelidae. The record is from RefSeq and is a predicted model, not a curated record.
UCAGUGUUGCACCUUACAUGCUUCUAGCCAGCAGUACUUCAGUAUGACUCAAAUAUUGAUCUAAAUCAUUUAUGGCAUAAAUUAAAGUUCCUUCGAGACAGGAGGAGAUAGCAGUUAGACCAACAGAAAGCAGCUCCAAAUUUCCUAAAAUAAGAUCUUUGGUUCUCUGGAGGAAUCCUGAGCAUAAUCUCAAGAGUCCAUGAGAAUUUUUCAUUUGAGAAUUUCAUAUCAGUAGCUACCUAAAACAUGUGCAUAAGCAUAUUUUUGACCAUUUAAUGGCAACCUCACAACUAAUAAUUUUCCCCAUAUUCAAAGACCUUAAUAGUGUUUUUGUCUUGAGUUUGUUGUACCCAAGUAGUUCUAUUUCAUCCUGGGCUAAAGUGAAAAAUAAAAAAAUGGAGGCAGAAUUACUAUGUAAAUGGUGAAUUUCUGCCAAGUGAGGACCAAAUGACAUCAUGUUAUGGUUUUGCAGUAGUUGGAACAGAGAAGAGAGGUGGAAAAAAUGACUGAUCUCACAGCACACAGAUGUAUGGGAAUGAUGACCACAAAAGAACUUGAACCUUAACAAAAGAGAAGUAUCCAGGAUUCUGAACCCCCAGACCUUUUGCCAGCUCCCAGGUGUGGCCACCACCUCAGGAUGGUGUGAUACAUCAAGGAGUUACAGAACCAGGGGAUUGUCUCCAUUUUACCAGCGAAAUUGUUUGGGGAGAAGAUCAAGUAGAAGACCCGUCUUCAUAGCAACCUGUAAUCCAUAGCAACCACCUCCACCGACCUCCAAACCCAUCAAAAUGAUGGAAAGCUAUGGAAAAGUUGUAAGCUGUGGAGUGACAAGAAAAGAUUUGACUUACAAUCCCUUACUCAUGUCCAAGUACUCCAUCCCAGUUCCAUUACUGAAGGGAGGAGGUCCAGCAUCUCACUACACGGAUACAGGGAAACGUGGACCAUUGAGCCCACGUUUGGAAUCAAUCUACCGCAAGAAAGGGGCAGAAAUGAGGAACCUCCCUCCACAGCUUUAGUAAAAUGAUGCCCAGAAGUAAAGUCAGCCAUGAUUUUAGCUAUCAUGCAUUUUAUGGAUUCCUGGGGUAAAAAUAAAGAGGCUGUGACAAACCAGGAGAACUGUGUCUUCUCCAUCAUUCCUCCUCCCCUCCAUGGCAUCACUUUCUGCCACUCCCUGCCCCAGAGAAAGGAUGUAUAACUGUGACUUCGAGGAGGAAGACUUUAUUUGUAGAAGGAAGGAGGGUUUUAGAGAUGAUGAUGUAAAAGGCUGAACCAAAAAUAACAACCAGUCUUACAUAUGCCGUUUCUCUUCUGCAUUGAUGAUCCCAAGAAGAUUACUAGGCGGGAUCAUCUGAAAGAUCCUUUUGUGCAAACAAUCAGCCUGCUAAUGAAACAAG